RNAcentral lists this ribosomal RNA (716 nucleotides) under Kocuria rosea. Its description in RNAcentral is "bacterial SSU rRNA". It matches the Rfam family "Bacterial small subunit ribosomal RNA", at positions 77 to 805 of the family's 1533-position model. Lineage: Bacteria; Bacillati; Actinomycetota; Actinomycetes; Micrococcales; Micrococcaceae. The record is from RNAcentral.
AGCUUGCUGGGCGGAUUAGUGGCGAACGGGUGAGUAAUACGUGAGUAACCUGCCCUUGACUCUGGGAUAAGCCUGGGAAACUGGGUCUAAUACUGGAUACUACCUCUUACCGCAUGGUGGGUGGUGGAAAGGGUUUUACUGGUUUUGGAUGGGCUCACGGCCUAUCAGCUUGUUGGUGGGGUAAUGGCUCACCAAGGCGACGACGGGUAGCCGGCCUGAGAGGGUGACCGGCCACACUGGGACUGAGACACGGCCCAGACUCCUACGGGAGGCAGCAGUGGGGAAUAUUGCACAAUGGGCGGAAGCCUGAUGCAGCGACGCCGCGUGAGGGAUGACGGCCUUCGGGUUGUAAACCUCUUUCAGUAGGGAAGAAGCGAGAGUGACGGUACCUGCAGAAGAAGCGCCGGCUAACUACGUGCCAGCAGCCGCGGUAAUACGUAGGGCGCAAGCGUUGUCCGGAAUUAUUGGGCGUAAAGAGCUCGUAGGCGGUUUGUCGCGUCUGCUGUGAAAGCCCGGGGCUCAACCCCGGGUCUGCAGUGGGUACGGGCAGACUAGAGUGCAGUAGGGGAGACUGGAAUUCCUGGUGUAGCGGUGAAAUGCGCAGAUAUCAGGAGGAACACCGAUGGCGAAGGCAGGUCUCUGGGCUGUUACUGACGCUGAGGAGCGAAAGCAUGGGGAGCGAACAGGAUUAGAUACCCUGGUAGUCCAUGCCGUAA